RNAcentral lists this microRNA (24 nucleotides) under Rosa chinensis. Its description in RNAcentral is "sRNA RchiOBHm_Chr3g0487855". Lineage: Eukaryota; Viridiplantae; Streptophyta; Magnoliopsida; Rosales; Rosaceae. The record is from RNAcentral.
AUAUAUCACUUUAGUCACUCAACU